This 406-nucleotide ribosomal RNA is filed under the name uncultured bacterium. RNAcentral's name for it is "partial 16S ribosomal RNA". It matches the Rfam family "Bacterial small subunit ribosomal RNA", at positions 30 to 526 of the family's 1533-position model. The record is from RNAcentral.
AUUGAACGCUGGCGGCAUGCUUUACACAUGCAAGUCGGACGAGUGGCGAACGGGUGAGUAAUAUAUCGGAACGUACCGAGUAAUGGGGGAUAACUAAUCGAAAGCUUAGCUAAUACCGCAUAUUAUUCGAGCGGUCGAUAUCUGAUUAGCUAGUUGGUGGGGUAAAGGCCUACCAAGGCGACGAUCAUUAGCGGGUCUGAGAGGAUGAUGCGCCACACUGGGAAUUAGACACGGCCCAGACGCCGACGUGAGGCAGCAGUGGGGAAUUUUGGACAAUGGGCGCAAGCCUGAUCCAGCCAUGCCGCGUGUCUGAAGAAGGCCUUCGGGUUUUAAAGCACUUUUGUCAGGGAAGCGGUACCUGAAGAAUAAGCACCGGCUAACUGCGUGCUAGCAGCCGCGGUAAUAC